Xenia sp. Carnegie-2017 is the source of this 851-nucleotide long non-coding RNA. RefSeq lists it as uncharacterized. The transcript has 3 exons. The record is from RefSeq and is a predicted model, not a curated record. Lineage: Eukaryota; Metazoa; Cnidaria; Anthozoa; Malacalcyonacea; Xeniidae.
GGAUGUUCAAAUAAAUACAACAUAUGCUGAAGAUUUGCGUAAAAAGAUAUAGAACAAUGAAACACACGAUAGUUUUUACUAUGAAGACUUAUACUCCACCAGAAAAGACUCUGGGACUACACAUGUAUCAGUAAUUUUGUCAACUGGAGAUGCUAUGUCUGUCACUACACAGUUGGUUAUUGUUUUGGUGCAAAGAUUCGAUCCUAUACAACAGGGAUAGUCUACAACAAUCAUAUGAGUUCAUUUUCGUUACCAAAUACAUCAAAAAGUUAUCAACCAAAAGCGUCAAAAGCCAAGUUUAUUCAGUCUGGGAAACGCUCUGUAUCAACAGCUUGUCCAACUAUAGUUGUUGAUUCAAAAGGUGACGUGAAAAUGGUUCUUGGUGGUUCGGGGGGAUCGAGAAUAAUAACUGGUGUGGCUGUAGAUCUGGGACACAAAAUGAAAGGAUCACGAUGAUUCUCUGUCGUUCAAGGAAUUUAUAGAACUAAAUCGGGAUACCUAUUUGCAAAAUAUGAUCCAAGAAAAGGUGGUGUUGCUGUUGUUUUGCCGUAACAAUAACGUUGAUUAAUUAAAGACGGAUGAGUGAAUAAAGGAGAGAUAGUUAAAGAAGCCAAAGUCUUAGAGAAUCUUUUGCGUGAUGUCUUUGAUUGAGACUGUGAGACUCGAUGCAUUCUGUAAUAAUAAUAUAAAUAUCAAUUUCUACAUAGUAAUAUCAAUAUUUAGUUUUUUCACGAAUUUGUUUUAUAAAUGUCAUUUUAUAGUAUUUUUUAGUUAACGUGUUGACCUCAAGAAAAACAUACAUUAAACUGCUCUAAAUAAUAAUAACAUAUAUUUGCUUGUAAUUUUUCAAA